Long non-coding RNA from Haplochromis burtoni (Burton's mouthbrooder), 1962 nucleotides. RefSeq lists it as uncharacterized. NCBI's taxonomy places the organism in Eukaryota, Metazoa, Chordata, Actinopteri, Cichliformes, Cichlidae. The transcript has 3 exons. The record is from RefSeq and is a predicted model, not a curated record.
UCCAUCGCUUUUGCACAAUUGUGGAUUGAUACAUUUGGUAUUUAUUAUUUAAAAUGUGCUGAUGAUUGUACUCUGAAUUCUCCUUGCUGUACCUUUGGUUUCAUGUAUUUUGGCGGAUAUGGAGCUGACACUUCUGUUCUAGUCUGUCUUAAACCACGACCCCGGAGGAUGAUAUCAGCAGAGCAGGGCUAUGAAACAGCCAGCUUAUUCUUCACAUCGUUUCAUUGUUAUUUUUGGUUUAAAAAUAACACUUCUUUCUAUGCUUUUCAGCUUCAGUUAAAUGCCAUCUCGUCUUAGUGGCUUCAACCAUGUUUAUGGCUCAUUUGUAAGAAGAGGCCCUACAGCUAUCAGGUGGUGUUUGGCAAUGGUAGAACUCACACUGGUGAGGUAGAUGGAUCCGGUGGUUCUAGACUUGCCAACUACUGCCUGAGAGCAUCCACCAGCUGAGAACAAUACGGAGACAAAAAAUAGCCCCAAGCAGAGAAGCAUCUGAAGCUCAUUUAAGUCAAUGAGUGAGUGGCUGACGGUGGUGAAGGGUGGGGUGAGACUCUGUUCCUCCCCUGCACACCCUGGCCUCAAAGCUCCAGUGACUUGGUAUAAACUUUUUUACGAGCAAUUUUAAAGAACAAUCAGGAUCUAGAUAAAACUCCCAAAGUGUUUGGCUUCUUUAAUUCAGAAAAGAUGACGUGCAGGAGGCAGGACAAGUAGAAAUCAAUUUUUAGCUUUGGGAGACGGUUUCACCUCUAAAAACAAGAAGGAAAAAAAUCAAUGUAAGUGUUUUCUUGAAACAAGAUAUUUGAAUGCAAUCAAUGAAAAAGUCUAGCACUGCAUCCUAAAGUAUUACCUUGUUCUCCACUUUGCAAGAUCGGGCUGACAGUUUUACCGCAUAAUUGUUCAAACAUGUAGUGGCGGAUUGAGUACUUGGACAACAAGAUAUAUAUUCAGCUUACUAUUUCAUUUGGAGAAGUUUAGAUCAGAGGAAAAAGAAGAAGCAGAGAUUUUCAGAAUACAUUUUUUUUUCUGAUGUAGGCUAAACUAACUAAUUUGGGGCGUGGGGACAGGAGAAUAAACAAUAAUGAUGACAAACAUGAUUUUUAAUGGAGAAACUGAUACUUCGCAGUUUGUUCCAUGAAGAUAAUGUAAUUAAAAUAAUGGUUCAUCAGUCAGUCUUUGACAAGUGGACAAAUGAGUGCAGCUCUGCAGUGUGAGAGGGACGAAGUGCUCCACUUUAUGUCUACAGGUUCAGCUCCUCCGCCUUCAGCCAGCCAUCAGGGGGUUCCUCUCUUAGCUCCAUGGCAUAAUUGGCAAACCGUGCGGUGUCAUCUUACCCUUCUCUUUUCAGUGCAGCCUUUUCCCCUCCUCCCUCCCUUCCCCAAAUGGAAAGGGUGGAGAGUAAGGCAGUCUUUCAAAUGUUAGUUUGGUUUGCUGUAACAGCCCAUUGACAGUUUGGCGAAAAAAGCAAGCUCCAUACUGAGCUUCAUAUAUCUGGGUCAGGGUCUGCUAAUGCUAGCUAUAUUUGAUCUACGUGGAUGUCAUCAUUGGACCUUUGCAGAGGCUCUUUUGCUUUUUGUGCUGAUUGGCCAUUAAAACAGAGAAUGGAUAUAUCACGCACGUAUAACGCCUAACCGUCUGGGCAUGAAUCUAAGGAUUUGACAUGUUCUUAAUUGUGUGUGCACACCUGCUGACUCAUCACUGAAAUUGUUUAUCUAGCAUUCAUAUUUGCUUGUGUGUAAUGCAAAUAAAUACUUUUAAAGGACCGAUCCAUUGUGUCAGACUCCGUCUAACGAUCUUCUUUGCAGCAAAGUGCAUUGAGGGAUAACCCUUGUCAAUUCAAGGCCUUCUCCAGAUGGACCGAGCAGCUCAGGUUACACCGCAUUUUUCAGUGCCCCCUCUAUCCCACAGCCCCCCUGGCCCCUUUCUCUAUUUCUCUCUCUCUUUUUCUGUUACACACACACACACACA